UACAGAGGGGGCAAGCGUUGUUCGGAAUUACUGGGCGUAAAGGGCGCGUAGGCGGCCUGUUAAGUCGGACGUGAAAUCCCUCGGCUCAACCGGGGAACUGCGUCCGAUACUGGCGGGCUUGAAUUCGGGAGAGGGAUGCAGAAUUCCAGGUGUAGCGGUGAAAUGCGUAGAUAUCUGGAGGAAUACCGGUGGCGAAGGCGGCAUCCUGGACCGACAUUGACGCUGAACGGCGAAAGCUAGGGGAGCAAACGGG
Molecule: ribosomal RNA, 253 nt
Filed under: uncultured bacterium
Lineage: Bacteria
Description: partial 16S ribosomal RNA
Rfam family: Bacterial small subunit ribosomal RNA
Source: RNAcentral